AUUGAACGCUGGCGGCAUGCCUUACACAUGCAAGUCGAACGGCAGCACGGGAGCAAUCCUGGUGGCGAGUGGCGAACGGGUGAGUAAUAUAUCGGAACGUGCCCGGUCGUGGGGAUAACGUAGCGAAAGCUACGCUAAUACCGCAUACGAUCUACGGAUGAAAGCGGGGGAUCGCAAGACCUCGCGCGAUUGGAGCGGCCGAUAUCAGAUUAGGUAGUUGGUGAGGUAAAGGCUCACCAAGCCGACGAUCUGUAGCUGGUCUGAGAGGACGACCAGCCACACUGGGACUGAGACACGGCCCAGACUCCUACGGGAGGCAGCAGUGGGGAAUUUUGGGCAAUGGGCGAAAGCCUGAUCCAGCAAUGCCGCGUGCAGGAAG
RNAcentral lists this ribosomal RNA (379 nucleotides) under uncultured bacterium. Its description in RNAcentral is "bacterial SSU rRNA". It matches the Rfam family "Bacterial small subunit ribosomal RNA", at positions 29 to 410 of the family's 1533-position model. The record is from RNAcentral.